UUGGGUUGGUAGGCAGGUCUCCUGAGAACCUCAUGUUCCCUUUGACUCACCUUUGUAUCCACAAAGUAAUAUCCUGAUACAUCAUUUCAUUUCCAGGGUAAACUUGCAACCAAGAAAACGUGCCCUAUGCAAAAGCCACACUUCUGGAAGCAAUUCUUACAAACUAGAAACCAGGUCUGGCCCAGAGUUUACUAACUAACCUGUCAGGUGCCUCAACCUCAACGAACAAUUGGAGCUUUCCAAGCACUGAGAAAACAACCAAGGACACACAGAUCCCUUUACCCUGUGGAGCCUACAUUUCAAUGGCAAUAAAAAAAAGGACAGUUAGCAACUUCUGAAGUAGAACACACGACUGAAACACACAGAGGAAAGAAACUGUACAGGACCAAGCAGAAGACUGUUUCCUUUUUUUAUGUUUUUAAAUUUGAAUUAGAAACAAG
Molecule: non-coding RNA, 440 nt
Organism: Cricetulus griseus (Chinese hamster)
Lineage: Eukaryota; Metazoa; Chordata; Mammalia; Rodentia; Cricetidae
Source: RefSeq, a predicted model, not a curated record